Molecule: transfer RNA, 64 nt
Filed under: Paragonimus westermani
Lineage: Eukaryota; Metazoa; Platyhelminthes; Trematoda; Plagiorchiida; Troglotrematidae
Description: tRNA-Val
Source: RNAcentral
GGCGAGAUAGUUUAAGGAAAAUGCCUACCUUACACGUAGGAGUUGGCUUUGGUGCCUAUCGCUA